UACGUAGGUGGCGAGCGUUGUCCGGAUUUACUGGGCGUAAAGGGAGCGUAGGCGGACUUUUAAGUGAGAUGUGAAAUACUCGGGCUCAACUUGAGUGCUGCAUUUCAAACUGGAAGUCUAGAGUGCAGGAGAGGAGAAUGGAAUUCCUAGUGUAGCGGUGAAAUGCGUAGAUAUUAGGAGGAACACCAGUUGCGAAGGCGGCUCUCUGGACUGUAACUGACACUGAGACACGAAAGCGUGGGGAGCAAACAGG
RNAcentral lists this ribosomal RNA (253 nucleotides) under uncultured bacterium. RNAcentral's name for it is "partial 16S ribosomal RNA". It matches the Rfam family "Bacterial small subunit ribosomal RNA", at positions 524 to 776 of the family's 1533-position model. The record is from RNAcentral.